UUGUCCUGCGGAGUAUGACGCCUGGCUUCACGGCCGGCUGAAUAUUUUUUUCCACCCAUGUCUUUUGCGCACUUGUUGUUUCCUGGGCGGGCUCGCCCGCCACCAGGACCAAACCAUAAACCUUUUUUUCUUAUGCAGUUUCCAUCAGCGUCAGUAAAAACAAUGUAAUUAUUUACAACUUUCAACAACGGAUCUCUUGGUUCUGGCAUCGAUGAAGAACGCAGCGAAAUGCGAUACGUAGUGUGAAUUGCAGAAUUCAGUGAAUCAUCGAAUCUUUGAACGCACAUUGCGCCCUUUGGUAUUCCAAAGGGCAUGCCUGUUCGAGCGUCAUUUGUACCUUCAAGCUUUGCUUGGUGUUGGGCGUCUUUUUGUCUCUCCUUUGCGGGAGACUCGCCUUAAAACGAUUGGCAGCCGGCCUACUGGUUUCGGAGCGCAGCACAUUUUUUGCGCUUUGUAUCAGGAGAAAAGGACGGUACUCCAUCAAGACGUUUACAUUUUUCACUUUUGACCUCGGAUCAGGUAGGGAUACCCGCUGAACUUAAGCAUAUCAAUAAGUACGAGGAAACGGAGGAGCAUAUCAAUGAGCGGAUGGAAUUCCGGCCGGCUGAAAUAUUUUUUUCACCCAUGUCUUUUGCGCACUUGUUGUUUCCUGGGCGGGCUCGCCCGCCACCAGGACCAAACCAUAAAACCUUUUUUUUCUUAUGCAGUUUUCAUCAGCGUCGUAAAAACAAUGUAAUUAUUUACAACUUUCACAACGGAUCUCUGGGUUCUGGCAUCGAUGAAGAAGCAGCGAAAUGCGAUACGUAGUGUGAAAUUGCAGAAAUCGUGAAAUCAUCAAAUCUUUUGAACGCACAUUGCGCCUUUUGGUAUUCAAGGAGCAUGCUGUUUGAGCGUCAUUUGUACCUUCAGCUUUGCUUGGGUGGUUGGGGCGUCUUUUUGUCUCUCUUGCGGGGAGAACUGCCUUAAAAGAAUGGGCAGCGGCCUUACUGGGUUUCGGAGACGCACACAAUUUUUGCGCUUGGUAUCAAGGAAGAAAAGGAACGGUACUCAUCAGAACAUUUAACUUUUUUCUUUGGACCUCGGAAUCAGGUAGGCAUACCGCCUGAACUUAAGCAUCAUAACGCGGAGAAGAAA
This 1134-nucleotide ribosomal RNA is filed under the name Bipolaris sp. TEJ14. RNAcentral describes it as "eukaryotic LSU rRNA". The stretch from base 177 to 330 matches the Rfam family "5.8S ribosomal RNA". The record is from RNAcentral. Lineage: Eukaryota; Fungi; Ascomycota; Dothideomycetes; Pleosporales; Pleosporaceae.